Molecule: ribosomal RNA, 462 nt
Filed under: uncultured bacterium
Lineage: Bacteria
Description: partial 16S ribosomal RNA
Rfam family: Bacterial small subunit ribosomal RNA
Source: RNAcentral
GAUGAACGCUGACGGAAUGCUUAACACAUGCAAGUCUUUGGCGAAGCUGUGCUUGCACAGCCUAGCCAAGGCGGACGGGUGAGUAACGCGUAAGGAACUUGCCCUGCAGUCAGGGAUAACAGACGGAAACGACUGAUAAGACCUGGUAAAGUCAGGCGGACUCAUGUCCAGCCUGAUGAAAAGAGAUGCUGCAGGAGAGCCUUGCGUCCUAUUAGCUUGUUGGUGGGGUAACGGCCCACCAAGGCGAUGAUAGGUAGCCGGCCUGAGAGGGUGGACGGCCACAAGGGGACUGAGAUACGGCCCUUACUCCUACGGGAGGCAGCAGUGGGGAAUAUUGGACAAUGGGGGCAACCCUGAUCCAGCAAUUCUGUGUGCACGAUGAAGGUUUUCGGAUUGUAAAGUGCUUUCAGCAGGGAAGAAAAAAUGACGGUACCUGCAGAAGAAGCGGCGGCUAAAUACGUG